GCCUAGUUAGCUUAGUUGGUAGUGCGUCUGCCUUGUAAGCGCUAGGCCGCGGGUUCGAUUCCCGCCCCGGGCU
Molecule: transfer RNA, 73 nt
Filed under: Diaphorina citri (Asian citrus psyllid)
Lineage: Eukaryota; Metazoa; Arthropoda; Insecta; Hemiptera; Psyllidae
Rfam family: tRNA
About the family: Transfer RNA (tRNA) molecules are approximately 80 nucleotides in length. Their secondary structure includes four short double-helical elements and three loops (D, anti-codon, and T loops). Further hydrogen bonds mediate the characteristic L-shaped molecular structure. tRNAs have two regions of fundamental functional importance: the anti-codon, which is responsible for specific mRNA codon recognition, and the 3' end, to which the tRNAs corresponding amino acid is attached (by aminoacyl-tRNA synthetases). tRNAs cope with the degeneracy of the genetic code in two manners: having more than one tRNA (with a specific anti-codon) for a particular amino acid; and 'wobble' base-pairing, i.e. permitting non-standard base-pairing at the 3rd anti-codon position.
Source: Rfam by way of RNAcentral